CGCGGGCGCGGAGGAGCGCGCGGUGCGCGGAGCCUGCUGAACGCCUGGAGAUGAAAAGUUUUGGAUUUUCUCUCCAGUAUAUGGCGUUAGUGAAACUUGACCAGUCAGCAGAUGUCCAGGUGGACGCAAACCUCGAUGGAGGUAAACGUCACUUGGCCACUUGGCUGAGCCAGCAAUUCUUGCAGCCAACCCCGGCGGUGAACCUCGUCUGGCCUCCAAGGACACGCCUCCUCUGCUUCCUUAACUCAUAGCCCAGGUUGAACCUUCCACCUCUGUGAGCCCGCUGUCACCAUCCCACUGACAAUCUUCGUGUCCUUACCUGUUAAGCUGCUGAGUGUUAAAGCUCUAAAGGUCACAGAUGAAAGUUGUGGCAAGACACGUUUGCAGACCUGUUGCUUUUGUAUCCCUCAUCUUAUCAUUUUAGAAGCCUUUUGCCCUAACUUUCUGGAAGAAAUGGAGAAGGCAAACUCUUUUUUAAACGUGGAUUAUGACACUAGCAGCCCGAUCAAAGAAUUGGGUCCUCAGUAAUCUCCACAGAGCAAAGUUACAGAAAGGCAGAGGAACUCGGGGCUGGCAGAGGGAUGUAUGUCAAAUUGUGCAACUGACCAAAACUUAAAUUAUAGUUCAGAAAUGUCUCACAUGUCUUACGGUACAUACAUGGGUUUGGUUGAGACUUAUAAUCACACGAUGGAAUAUGAAAGAAGAGUAUACUUAAUAUUCAAAUGUGUGUGUUUAGAAACCCUGCAGGAAAGAAGAGAAUAGAGUGUGAGACUCAGAAUCCAGGAAAUGCCCCCGCCCCUGGCAAAGCCUGUAAGUGUUGAGAUAAACUGGACCCAGUCAUCAUCCUACCAUGCAGCUGAUAGAUCUCGUUAGUUCUGUGUUCUCCUUUGGAAAAGGGUACUUAGCAACUUAGAAAUGCCUGUUACAGGAUAGAAACCCUCCUCUGUCUACAUAUUACUGUUUGGGGCCUCCAAGACGUUGAACAUAAACUAUUUAAAAGCUUCAGGGGGAACAUAAUAAUGACCCUGGAAAUAGAGGUUUCUAUUUAUCCGCGAGAUUUGUGUAUUACAUUCUAUCAUUGCCCAUCCUGCACAGUCCUGUGCCAUACGUGUAAUGGAUGCUCAACAAUUAUUGCUCAAAGUCAUGAAUGUUUUUCCUUGGGUAUUGAAAUGCUUAAACACUGCUAGUGGAAAUGUAAGACGGCACAGCACUUUGGAAGACAGUUUGGGACUUCCUCAAAAAGUUGGUAAC
Molecule: long non-coding RNA, 1251 nt
Filed under: Canis lupus dingo (dingo)
Lineage: Eukaryota; Metazoa; Chordata; Mammalia; Carnivora; Canidae
Description: lncRNA (ENSCAFG00020012957.1)
Source: RNAcentral